GGGCCUAUAGCUCAGACGGUCAGAGCGCUUCGCUGAUAACGAAGAGGUCCCUGGUUCAAGUCCAGGUAGGCCCACCA
This 77-nucleotide transfer RNA is filed under the name Haloechinothrix aidingensis. RNAcentral's name for it is "Haloechinothrix sp. YIM 98757 tRNA-Ile". It matches the Rfam family "tRNA". Rfam says of the family: Transfer RNA (tRNA) molecules are approximately 80 nucleotides in length. Their secondary structure includes four short double-helical elements and three loops (D, anti-codon, and T loops). Further hydrogen bonds mediate the characteristic L-shaped molecular structure. tRNAs have two regions of fundamental functional importance: the anti-codon, which is responsible for specific mRNA codon recognition, and the 3' end, to which the tRNAs corresponding amino acid is attached (by aminoacyl-tRNA synthetases). tRNAs cope with the degeneracy of the genetic code in two manners: having more than one tRNA (with a specific anti-codon) for a particular amino acid; and 'wobble' base-pairing, i.e. permitting non-standard base-pairing at the 3rd anti-codon position. The record is from RNAcentral. Lineage: Bacteria; Bacillati; Actinomycetota; Actinomycetes; Pseudonocardiales; Pseudonocardiaceae.